Molecule: small nuclear RNA, 184 nt
Organism: Neoarius graeffei (lesser salmon catfish)
Lineage: Eukaryota; Metazoa; Chordata; Actinopteri; Siluriformes; Ariidae
Product: U2 spliceosomal RNA
Exons: 1
Source: RefSeq, a predicted model, not a curated record
GUUGCUUUUCGGCUUUUUGGUUAAGAUCAAGUAUGGUAUCUAUUCUUAUUAAUUUAAUAUCUGAUAUGUUCUGUAAACGAAAAUGUUGUUUCAAGCAGAAUUUUUUUUUAAGACAGGGAGCUGGAGUAGGAGUUUGCUCCUAUCAACCUGAUACUGUAGUAUCUUCAAGAAUGAUGCCUUUGCU